Molecule: non-coding RNA, 28 nt
Filed under: Mus musculus (house mouse)
Lineage: Eukaryota; Metazoa; Chordata; Mammalia; Rodentia; Muridae
Source: RNAcentral
UGAGUACAAUAGGAGGGCCUCGCACAUA